Molecule: ribosomal RNA, 429 nt
Filed under: Gemmatimonadota bacterium
Lineage: Bacteria; Pseudomonadati; Gemmatimonadota
Description: Gemmatimonadetes bacterium partial 16S ribosomal RNA
Rfam family: Bacterial small subunit ribosomal RNA
Source: RNAcentral
UAGGGAAUCUUCGGCAAUGGACGAAAGUCUGACCGAGCAACGCCGCGUGAGUGAAGAAGGUUUUCGGAUCGUAAAACUCUGUUGCUAGAGAAGAACAAGGACGUUAGUAACUGAACGUCCCCUGACGGCAUCUAACCAGAAAGCCACGGCUAACUACGUGCCAGCAGCCGCGGUAAUACGUAGGUGGCAAGCGUUGUCCGGAUUUAUUGGGCGUAAAGCGAGCGCAGGCGGUUUCUUAAGUCUGAUGUGAAAGCCCCCGGCUCAACCGGGGAGGGUCAUUGGAAACUGGGAGACUUGAGUGCAGAAGAGGAGAGUGGAAUUCCAUGUGUAGCGGUGAAAUGCGUAGAUAUAUGGAGGAACACCAGUGGCGAAGGCGGCUCUCUGAUCUGUAACUGACACUGAGGCUCGAAAGCGUGGGGAGCAAACAGG